This is a long non-coding RNA of Triticum dicoccoides, 869 nucleotides long. RefSeq lists it as uncharacterized. The record is from RefSeq and is a predicted model, not a curated record. NCBI's taxonomy places the organism in Eukaryota, Viridiplantae, Streptophyta, Magnoliopsida, Poales, Poaceae. The transcript is spliced from 6 exons.
AGGAAAUUGAGAAGUUAUUAUUGAAGAGGAAUUCAGUGGCAUGUGGUUCUGAAGAGAUGAAAUGGAACAAGAAGUGCAACUCCCAUGCUACACUAUCUAAUCAGCCCUUGAUGGUUCAGAUUUCCCAAAGGAGAAGAAGGAGGUGCCAAAAAAGGAUGGGAGCAACAAAUGGAAUCAGUUUUCUUGACCCCAUGGGAGAAGUUAGAAGUGAUAUUCUCGGGAGUUCCCACCAACUGGUUUGAUGUAUGUUGGAACAGCUAGUUAACGUUUGUCUUGCCAGCUAGUUAAUGUACCCUCAGCGGCCGUGCUUGAUAGGAGGGGCCAGGGAAGUGCUUUAAGUCGUUCCAAGCAUGUGAGACAGUGUCAACUCUGUAAGGCAAGUCAAGGCGCUCCUGUUGCGGCAAGAUCCUUCAGCGGUGCAGGAGAUUAAGGGUUCCAUAAUCGAUUCCGCGCCUGUUGCUGUCCCCAAUUUUCAGAACUAUGCAGAACAGAAACAGGAGCAAUGAACGGAUGUCAUUGUUAACAUCUUCACAUGCGUGCAAAUCAGCCUACCGAGGAGUUUGCCGCCGCCGAUGCGCAGUCCGAAUACAGUCGCGUCAGUGUGGGCAACGACGUCUGAAAGAUUGAAGAGAAAGCAUGCACCUGUGUUGGCGAGGAGGUCGUCGUCGUGGAUGUCGCGGGCGUCGUCCUGGAUGUCGCGUCGUCGGCGUCGUCGGUGCGGGCGUCCUCGGCGCGGGCGUUUCGGUGGAGGGCAACUCUGAAGAGCGACAGGAGGAUUGGUCGCCGCUAAUUUUGGAGUGGAUGUGGCUGUUUCGGUGUGUUUUUUCUUUUCUUUUUGUUGGCGUUGGGUGAAGGACGGCAGAGUUUCG